Molecule: ribosomal RNA, 513 nt
Filed under: Epipyga sp. AJB-2014
Lineage: Eukaryota; Metazoa; Arthropoda; Insecta; Hemiptera; Epipygidae
Description: partial 16S ribosomal RNA
Source: RNAcentral
GGUUUCUAGUUUUUUUUAAAAAUCUAAUCUGCCCAAUGAUUAAACAUUAAAUGGCCGCGGUAAUUUGACCGUGCAAAGGUAGCAUAAUAAUUAGGCUUAUAAUUAAAGUCUGGUAUGAAUGAUUGGAUGAGAAAUUAACUUUCUUUAAUUAUUUAUUAUAACUUAAUUUUUAAGUGAAAAAGCUUAAAUUUUUUUAAGGGACGAAAAGACCCUAUAGAACUUAAUUAAUUAAUUGGUUAAUUUAAUAUCUAGAUUAAUUUAAUUUAUUAACUUAUAUUUUUUUUAUUGGGGUGAUAAUAAUAUUAUUUAAACUUUUAUUAUUUAUAUCAUGAAUUAAUGUAAAUAAUGAUCCUUUACUAAUGAUUAAAAGUUAAAGUUACCUUAGGGAUAACAGCGUAAUUUAUUUGGAGAGUUCUUAUCAAUAAAUAAGAUUGCGACCUCGAUGUUGGAUUAAGAUAAAAUAAAGGAGUAGAUAUUUUUAUUUUAGGUCUGUUCGACCUUUAUAUUCUUACA